Long non-coding RNA from Diospyros lotus (date-plum), 975 nucleotides. RefSeq lists it as uncharacterized. Lineage: Eukaryota; Viridiplantae; Streptophyta; Magnoliopsida; Ericales; Ebenaceae. The transcript is spliced from 2 exons. The record is from RefSeq and is a predicted model, not a curated record.
UAUAAAAAAAACAAAAAAAGAAAAAACUGGUGAUGGUUAGGGUAUAAAAUCACGUCAGCGUGAUAAAUAAUAAGUUCAUUGAAAUCUUUAUUUUUAGUGAAUUCUUUUUGUGUAAGGCCCAUGGCAUUGGGCCUUAAUUUUUGCAAAGGCCCAAUUCUCUCUCUCUCUCUUUCUAGUACUCUAGGUUUCACUGUACAAUGCACAUGGACAUUUCACUCUUUCUCGUCUUUUGGUUCACUACAAAUUGAAAAAGAUUCCAGCUUUGGGCAUGGGAGAUCGUCAAUCAAUUUUUCAGGGGUUUGAUUUCAAAAGUUAAUGAAAGGGGGACAGUUUAAUCAAAGCACAAUGUUGUUAAUUGAAGGAAGCAAAGCUGCUGGUGAGUUCUUUUCCCAUGAAUUUAAAUUUCUUUCUUGCUUCUUGCUUCAUUCAAUUGGUGAGAACCACUACACUGUACAUCGUGAGAAAACGCAUUUCAAUCACCUCCAUGAAAUCAAAUCCCAUUUCUUCUAAGUGGAAGCCUUGAAUGCCAUAUUGGAACCCCAUGAACUUAGUUCUAGAGCAAAGAGGUAGGUUAAAGAGAAAAAAGAAAAUAGAAAAGCUAUUUUGCUUGUAAUAGAGCAAUUGAAAUAUGGCAGUAACUAUCCCAAAUAAUUAAGUCCCAAAACACUUGCCUUCAUCUUUUCUGUACUUUGCAAAGGGUUGAUGUUUAGUAACCCUUUGACUUGUUAUUAUCUAAUUAGAGUUGGGGAUUCCAUUUGGAUUAAUGGGAAAUAAGGCUUUAGCUUUUAGAGUGGACUCAAUUCCAUACAAUUGUAUAACCCAGUUGCAGUUGCAGGACCUGCUUUUGAUUGCUUGAGGAGGAAAGUCUAAACUAGUUGGAAGCCACCUGCAGAUUGCUAUUUGGCAAUUAGAAUAUGUAAGAAGAUAGACUCAAUUUGAAGGAGCCAAUUAGAAUCCAACUGUCAAGACUCCACC